Molecule: transfer RNA, 77 nt
Filed under: bacterium
Lineage: Bacteria
Also listed under: 4 other names
Description: tRNA-Pro
Rfam family: tRNA
About the family: Transfer RNA (tRNA) molecules are approximately 80 nucleotides in length. Their secondary structure includes four short double-helical elements and three loops (D, anti-codon, and T loops).
Source: RNAcentral
CGGGGAGUAGCGCAGCUCGGUAGCGCACUUGACUGGGGGUCAAGUGGUCGCGGGUUCAAAUCCCGCCUCCCCGACCA